AUUUUCGAUCCCCGCCGCCCGGGUGGCAUGAAUCAGUUCCCUCACGGGGGCCGAGGAGUGCGCCCAAUUAUUUGACUAUUCUGACUGAUCAAACAAUGAAAUUGUUAACAUAUAAACAACUUUCAGCAAUGGAUCUCUCGGCUUUCGUAUCGAUGAAGAACGCAGCAAAUCGCGAUAUGUAGUGUGAUCUGCCUAUAGUGAAUCAUCAAAUUUUUGAACGCAUCUUGCACCCCUGGGUAUUCCUGGGGGUACGCCUGUUUCAGUAUCAUUAUUACCUCUCUUCAACCAACUUGUUGGUAGAUGGGAAACAUAACUACUGGCCCUGAGUCGCCUUUUAGGGGGCUUCACGGCUAAAAUGCUCGGUUAUUCUUGGCUGAUGACAACCUUUUGGUAAGAUUUAUCCUACUAAAAAGACCCAGUAAACCAAGAAAUGGACCUCCCCAUAUUUUAUAGAGACCCCACCAACCUUGAUCUGAAAUCAGGCGGGAUUACCCGCUGAACUUAAUCAUAUCAAUAAGCGGAGGA
RNAcentral lists this ribosomal RNA (525 nucleotides) under Absidia stercoraria. Its description in RNAcentral is "eukaryotic LSU rRNA". The stretch from base 118 to 268 matches the Rfam family "5.8S ribosomal RNA". The record is from RNAcentral. Lineage: Eukaryota; Fungi; Mucoromycota; Mucoromycetes; Mucorales; Cunninghamellaceae.